ACAUGCAAGUCGAACGAACUCUGGUAUUGAUUGGUGCUUGCAUCAUGAUUUACAUUUGAGUGAGUGGCGAACUGGUGAGUAACACGUGGGAAACCUGCCCAGAAGCGGGGGAUAACACCUGGAAACAGAUGCUAAUACCGCAUAACAACUUGGACCGCAUGGUCCGAGUUUGAAAGAUGGCUUCGGCUAUCACUUUUGGAUGGUCCCGCGGCGUAUUAGCUAGAUGGUGGGGUAACGGCUCACCAUGGCAAUGAUACGUAGCCGACCUGAGAGGGUAAUCGGCCACAUUGGGACUGAGACACGGCCCAAACUCCUACGGGAGGCAGCAGUAGGGAAUCUUCCACAAUGGACGAAAGUCUGAUGGAGCAACGCCGCGUGAGUGAAGAAGGGUUUCGGCUCGUAAAACUCUGUUGUUAAAGAAGAACAUAUCUGAGAGUAACUGUUCAGGUAUUGACGGUAUUUAACCAGAAAGCCACGGCUAACUACGUGCCAGCAGCCGCGGUAAUACGUAGGUGGCAAGCGUUGUCCGGAUUUAUUGGGCGUAAAGCGAGCGCAGGCGGUUUUUUAAGUCUGAUGUGAAAGCCUUCGGCUCAACCGAAGAAGUGCAUCGGAAACUGGGAAACUUGAGUGCAGAAGAGGACAGUGGAACUCCAUGUGUAGCGGUGAAAUGCGUAGAUAUAUGGAAGAACACCAGUGGCGAAGGCGGCUGUCUGGUCUGUAACUGACGCUGAGGCUCGAAAGUAUGGGUAGCAAACAGGAUUAGAUACCCUGGUAGUCCAUACCGUAAACGAUGAAUGCUAAGUGUUGGAGGGUUUCCGCCCUUCAGUGCUGCAGCUAACGCAUUAAGCAUUCCGCCUGGGGAGUACGGCCGCAAGGCUGAAACUCAAAGGAAUUGACGGGGGCCCGCACAAGCGGUGGAGCAUGUGGUUUAAUUCGAAGCUACGCGAAGAACCUUACCAGGUCUUGACAUACUAUGCAAAUCUAAGAGAUUAGACGUUCCCUUCGGGGACAUGGAUACAGGUGGUGCAUGGUUGUCGUCAGCUCGUGUCGUGAGAUGUUGGGUUAAGUCCCGCAACGAGCGCAACCCUUAUUAUCAGUUGCCAGCAUUAAGUUGGGCACUCUGGUGAGACUGCCGGUGACAAACCGGAGGAAGGUGGGGAUGACGUCAAAUCAUCAUGCCCCUUAUGACCUGGGCUACACACGUGCUACAAUGGAUGGUACAACGAGUUGCGAACUCGCGAGAGUAAGCUAAUCUCUUAAAGCCAUUCUCAGUUCGGAUUGUAGGCUGCAACUCGCCUACAUGAAGUCGGAAUCGCUAGUAAUCGCGGAUCAGCAUGCCGCGGUGAAUACGUUCCCGGGCCUUGUACACACCGCCCGUCACACCAUGAGAGUUUGUAACACCCAAAGUCGGUGGGGUAACCUUUUAGGAACCAGCCGCCUAAG
RNAcentral lists this ribosomal RNA (1443 nucleotides) under Lactiplantibacillus pentosus. RNAcentral's name for it is "bacterial SSU rRNA". It matches the Rfam family "Bacterial small subunit ribosomal RNA". RNAcentral also lists the same sequence under 1 other name. Lineage: Bacteria; Bacillati; Bacillota; Bacilli; Lactobacillales; Lactobacillaceae. The record is from RNAcentral.